Long non-coding RNA from Sphaeramia orbicularis (orbiculate cardinalfish), 1678 nucleotides. RefSeq lists it as uncharacterized. Lineage: Eukaryota; Metazoa; Chordata; Actinopteri; Kurtiformes; Apogonidae. The transcript has 2 exons. The record is from RefSeq and is a predicted model, not a curated record.
AUGAGGAAAGUGAACUUUUUUGUCACCUGACGUCGAGUAACCUGUCAACAAAAGGACCAAAAAAAAAAGGAUGGGGGUGAUUUGUCAACUUGAAGAAGAAAAGUGAACUCUGAUGUUGUCAAAUAGUUUCUGACUUUGGAGGAAAUCGCCUGUGUGUUCCAAGUCGAUGAUGGGGAAGCGGUGGUAACGCGUUACUGAGCAUCGUUACCGCCCUGCACUGUCCGGAAACUAGCAGAAUGUGAAAUCGAGUGUAGGCUGUAUGCGUUCGCGAUAUGAAGACUCUGGUUGCGUUAAGUAUCAGAGAGCAACCUCUGGAGCACCGACGACAACAAGAAAGAAAGAUCAUAUGCGAGUAGAAAGCGGUGGUUGUGUAAAAAAAAAAAAAAAAAAAAAAAAAAACACCAUCCAAGUUACCCAGUUGGGCUAUGCAAAUGUUUCUGUUCCGUCCAUACGCGCGCACGGACGGAGCGCACCGACCUGUACAGCCUGAUCUAGUUGGAGAGCCCGUCGAACCCAGGCGCUGUUUGCCCUGGAGCUUUUCUAUUUCACUUUAAAGGGAUGCUAGUCGUCCUGACACGUGAGCUGAGCUGAUGAGACGACUUUAUCGCGGAUUUGGAUGAGGGGUUUUCUGUGCGUUAAUGGUCAGGCGUGCGAACUAGGCUAUGGUGCGCUCAGAUGUUUUUUUUUUUUUUUUUUUUUUUUCUUCCUCUCUCGGUCGCUCUGUAUCCACCGCUCCGCCUCCCCCUUUUCGCAACAUUGACGCAACCAAAAAUACUGGAACAAAAGAAACAACUUCCUUGAAGCUUUGCUGAAACUGCACUUAGUCGGAGAAUGGAAGCUUGUUGUCAACUUGCCUUGGGUGGAAAUGUCGAGGUGAGGUUGUCACCAGUGGCCGGUUGGCAGCGACACAGAUGCAUUCGAUCACUCCGAAACGCAUCCGAUGUAUCCAAUGGAGAGCAUCCUUCCCCUGCUGCUAAACAGAGGAGCAAAAUCUGCACAAGAGGCACUAACCGUCUGAACAUCUUUGGGUACAUUAAUAAUAGUUAAAACAGUCUGAACCCCUGUGAGCACAUGUUUUGGACACGAAGCCCGGAGGAUGAAGCAGGGUGUGGAUGACAGAAGAUAACAGCAACAAGAAAGCAGGAGAACACUAAUGUCUGCAGUUCUUGCGAUGCUGUAGCAGCACGGAAUGGUUUGUGGGUUAUACUGAGAUGCAGGCCAUACUGUGCUGCAGCAGUAAAGCCUGAAUACACAACCCGGUUGUCACUGUCCAACCUGUUGCCCGUUUUCAGCCGCGACUAAAACUGACUCCUGUACACGUUGUCUUCACUAACCGGAUCACCGUCCUCGACAAAAAACUGUUUUUUUCCUCAUUUUCUGGUCGCCUUACUGUAGCAGCACGUAAAUAUUGGAGUUAAGACUGUUUGUGAAACCUCCAGUAUUGAUCGUGCUGCUGAAGCAAAGCUGACCACUCACUGAACCGUCUCUAUCGCUGUGACUAACCACUGAAUGUACUCCGACAACACUGCUGCCAACAAUAAUCCGCUUUUAGACGCUUCCAGGUACAUUUACAUCGAGAUCUUGUGUCAAAUAUCAAAUCCUCCCAUGUUUUUAUACUUUCACAUUUCACUGUCAUUUCUAUAUUCGCACUUGGAAAAAAAAUAAAAAUUCAAAUUGG